Molecule: ribosomal RNA, 253 nt
Filed under: uncultured bacterium
Lineage: Bacteria
Description: partial 16S ribosomal RNA
Rfam family: Bacterial small subunit ribosomal RNA
Source: RNAcentral
UACGUAGGUGGCGAGCGUUGUCCGGAUUUACUGGGCGUAAAGAGCGCGCAGGCGGUCGUUCAAGUCGCGUGUGAAAGCCCCCGGCUCAACUGGGGAGGGUCACGCGAUACUGAUCGACUCGAAGGCAGGAGAGGGUAGUGGAAUUCCCGGUGUAGUGGUGAAAUGCGUAGAUAUCUGGAGGAACACCGGUGGCGAAGGCGGCAUCCUGGACCGGUAUUGACGCUGAGGCGCGAAAGCCAGGGGAGCAAACGGG